UACGGGGGGGGCAAGCGUUGUUCGGAAUUACUGGGCGUAAAGGGUUUGUAGGUGGCCCGCUAAGUCACACGUGAAAUCCCUCAGCUUAACUGGGGAACUGCGUGUGAGACUGGCAGGCUCGAGGGCAGGAGAGGAACGCGGAAUUCCAGGUGUAGCGGUGAAAUGCGUAGAUAUCUGGAGGAACACCGGUGGCGAAGGCGGCGUUCUGGACUGUCUCUGACACUGAAGAACGAAAGACAGGGGAGCAAACGGG
This 253-nucleotide ribosomal RNA is filed under the name uncultured bacterium. RNAcentral describes it as "partial 16S ribosomal RNA". It matches the Rfam family "Bacterial small subunit ribosomal RNA", at positions 524 to 776 of the family's 1533-position model. The record is from RNAcentral.